GAUGAACGCUGGCGGCGUGCCUAAUACAUGCAAGUCGAGCGAACAGAUGAGGAGCUUGCUCCCCUGACGUUAGCGGCGGACGGGUGAGUAACACGUGGAUAACCUACCUAUAAGACUGGGAUAACUUCGGGAAACCGGAGCUAAUACCGGAUAAUAUAUUGAACCGCAUGGUUCAAUAGUGAAAGACGGUUUUGCUGUCACUUAUAGAUGGAUCCGCGCCGCAUUAGCUAGUUGGUAAGGUAACGGCUUACCAAGGCGACGAUGCGUAGCCGACCUGAGAGGGGAUAGGCCCCCACUGGAACUGGGACCCGGGCCACAUCCCAACGGGGGGCAGCAGUAGGGAAUUUUCCGCAAGGGGAGAAAGCCUGACGGGGAAACGCCGGGUGGGUGAUGAAGGUCUUGGGAUCGUAAAACCCUUUUUUUGGGGAAAAACAAAUGUGUAAGUAACUUUGCCCGUUUGGACGGUACCUAAUCAAAAAGCCACGCCUAACUACGU
Molecule: ribosomal RNA, 496 nt
Filed under: uncultured bacterium
Lineage: Bacteria
Description: partial 16S ribosomal RNA
Rfam family: Bacterial small subunit ribosomal RNA
Source: RNAcentral